RNAcentral lists this ribosomal RNA (497 nucleotides) under uncultured bacterium. RNAcentral's name for it is "partial 16S ribosomal RNA". It matches the Rfam family "Bacterial small subunit ribosomal RNA", at positions 28 to 507 of the family's 1533-position model. The record is from RNAcentral.
GUUGAACGCUGGCGGCGUGCCUAAUACAUGCAAGUCGAGCGAACAGACGAGGAGCUUGCUCCUCUGACGUUAGCGGCGGACGGGUGAGUAACACGUGGAUAACCUACCUAUAAGACUAGGAUAACUUCGGGAAACCGGAGCUAAUACCGGAUAAUAUAUUGAACCGCAUGGUUCAAUAGUGAAAGACGGUUUUGCUGUCACUUAUAGAUGGAUCCGCGCCGCAUUAGCUAGUUGGUAAGGUAACGGCUUACCAAGGCAACGAUGCGUAGCCGACCUGAGAGGGUGAUCGGCCACACUGGAACUGAGACACGGUCCAGACUCCUACGGGAGGCAGCAGUAGGGAAUCUUCCGCAAUGGGCGAAAGCUUGACGGAGCAACGCCGCGUGAGUGAUGAAGGUCUUCGGAUCGUAAAACUCUGUUAUUAGGGAAGAACAAAUGUGUAAGUAACUAUGCACGUCUUGACGGUACCUAAUCAGAAAGCCACGGCUAACUACGUG